UACGGAGGGGGCUAGCGUUGUUCGGAAUUACUGGGCGUAAAGCGCACGUAGGCGGCUUUGUAAGUUAGAGGUGAAAGCCCGGGGCUCAACUCCGGAAUUGCCUUUAAGACUGCAUCGCUAGAAUUGUGGAGAGGUAAGUGGAAUUCCGAGUGUAGAGGUGAAAUUCGUAGAUAUUCGGAAGAACACCAGUGGCGAAGGCGGCGACCUGGGUCGAUACUGACGCUGAUGCGCGAAAGCGUGGGGAGCAAACAGG
RNAcentral lists this ribosomal RNA (253 nucleotides) under uncultured bacterium. RNAcentral describes it as "partial 16S ribosomal RNA". It matches the Rfam family "Bacterial small subunit ribosomal RNA", at positions 524 to 776 of the family's 1533-position model. The record is from RNAcentral.